RNAcentral lists this ribosomal RNA (443 nucleotides) under uncultured bacterium. RNAcentral describes it as "partial 16S ribosomal RNA". It matches the Rfam family "Bacterial small subunit ribosomal RNA", at positions 338 to 795 of the family's 1533-position model. The record is from RNAcentral.
CCUACGGGUGGCAGCAGUUAGGAAUAUUGGGCAAUGGAGGAAACUCUGACCCAGCAACGCCGCGUGCAGGAAGACGGUUUUCGGAUUGUAAACUUCUUAUCUGUGGGACGAAGAAAGUGACGGUACCACAUGAGAAAGCCACGGCUAACUACGUGCCAGCAGCCGCGGUAAUACGUAGGUGGCGAGCGUUCUCCGGAAUAACUGGGUGUAAAGGGUGCGUAGGUGGUUGAGUAAGUUAAAUGUGAAAGCCCAGGGCUCAACUCUGGAACUGCAUUUAAUACUGGUCGGCUAGAGUGCAGGAGGGGUAGGCGGAAUUUAUAGUGUAGCGGUGAAAUGCGUAGAGAUUAGGAAGAACACCGAAGGCGAAGGCAGUUUACUGGGCUGCAACUGACACUGAGGCUCGAAAGCGUGGGGAGCAAACAGGAUUAGAUACCCUAGUAGUC